GGGCCUGAAGCUCAACGGUUGAGCAGGCGGCUCAUAACCGCUUGGUUGCGGGUUCGAAUCCCGCCGGGCCCA
This 72-nucleotide transfer RNA is filed under the name Gemmata sp. Its description in RNAcentral is "tRNA-Met". It matches the Rfam family "tRNA". From Rfam's summary of the family: Transfer RNA (tRNA) molecules are approximately 80 nucleotides in length. Their secondary structure includes four short double-helical elements and three loops (D, anti-codon, and T loops). Further hydrogen bonds mediate the characteristic L-shaped molecular structure. tRNAs have two regions of fundamental functional importance: the anti-codon, which is responsible for specific mRNA codon recognition, and the 3' end, to which the tRNAs corresponding amino acid is attached (by aminoacyl-tRNA synthetases). tRNAs cope with the degeneracy of the genetic code in two manners: having more than one tRNA (with a specific anti-codon) for a particular amino acid; and 'wobble' base-pairing, i.e. permitting non-standard base-pairing at the 3rd anti-codon position. Lineage: Bacteria; Pseudomonadati; Planctomycetota; Planctomycetia; Gemmatales; Gemmataceae. The record is from RNAcentral. RNAcentral also lists the same sequence under 4 other names.